This 318-nucleotide ribosomal RNA is filed under the name Triticum aestivum (bread wheat). RNAcentral describes it as "partial small subunit ribosomal RNA". The record is from RNAcentral. Lineage: Eukaryota; Viridiplantae; Streptophyta; Magnoliopsida; Poales; Poaceae.
AUGGCACCAUCCAUGAGUCUUGCAGCGAAAGGUCCGCUCCCCUUUGGAGCGCUCCCCUCGAGCGGCGUGGCGCAGAGGCCGGUGUCGGUGACUGCCUCACUGGAGCACAAGAGCGAUUAUAAGAGGAAGCUCCUGAAUUUGUCACCCAUUCAGCUUUCUUACUGGGGCAUCUUUCUUGUCACUAUUGGUGCUGCUGCUGCUGUGGUUGUUGGAGAUGUUGCUGUUGCAUCUGGCGGAGCUGCCAUUGGGGCCCCAAAAGGAAUUCUACCCGAAGAAAUUCGGAGAAAGCUUGAAGCCCCAGUUAGCGACUUGCUUUGA